ACGGAAAGAGCGUUCUGUUUGGU
RNAcentral lists this non-coding RNA (23 nucleotides) under Cricetulus griseus (Chinese hamster). Lineage: Eukaryota; Metazoa; Chordata; Mammalia; Rodentia; Cricetidae. The record is from RNAcentral.